CCAGCAGCCGCGGUAAUUCCAGCUCCAAUAGCGUAUAUUAAAGUUGUUGCAGUUAAAAAGCUCGUAGUUGAAUUUCGGGACUGGUUGCAGGAGUAGCCUAACUGGCUGCAUCUUGUGUACUUGUCCCUACCUUCUGGCGAGCCACGGUGCUCUUAACUGGGUGCCGUGGGGAGCCAGGACCUUUACUUUGAGAAAAUUAGAGUGUUUAAGGCAGGCUUACGCUUGAAUACAUUAGAAUGGAAUAAUGGAAUAGGACUUUGGUCCUAUUUUGUUGGUUUCUAGGCACAAGGUAAUGAUUAAUAGGGACAGUUGGGGGUAUUAGUAUUGAGUUGUCAGAGGUGAAAUUCUUGGAUUUACUCAAGGCUAACUAAUGCGAAAGCAUUUACCAAGGAUGUUUUCAUUAAUCAAGAACGAAAGU
RNAcentral lists this ribosomal RNA (418 nucleotides) under uncultured eukaryote. RNAcentral's name for it is "SSU rRNA". It matches the Rfam family "Eukaryotic small subunit ribosomal RNA", at positions 567 to 990 of the family's 1831-position model. The record is from RNAcentral.